RNAcentral lists this unclassified non-coding RNA (1099 nucleotides) under Hevea brasiliensis (rubber tree). Lineage: Eukaryota; Viridiplantae; Streptophyta; Magnoliopsida; Malpighiales; Euphorbiaceae. The record is from RNAcentral.
AAAAAAAAAAGAAUAAAAGAAAAAAAAAGUUAUUGUCCAAACAGUCAUAAAUAUGAUCGUUUGGAAGCAAAAACAAAAGGAAGGAGAAUGUAGCAGGAAGCACGCCAUGUAGCAGUUCCUGCUCCUACCACAUGGCAAACUCCUACAAUUGUCACGUUUUUUAAAUUGAAACGAAAUUGGUCCAGAAUUAGCAACUUGAACUACCAGUUCUAAUUCAAGGGGCUCGAGAGGCCCCUAACUGGUCCCUUAGUUCUCAGUUCAAGGUCAAUCUGGGUUGACGAACUGUUGGCCAAGUCUAUUCCAAAGCUUAAUUAGGAUUAGGAGUGUUGAGAGUCAAUACUGCACAUAACCUAUCAAAUUUUCAUUUAAUAAAUGAUAGAGAUUUUCUAAAAUUUUUGAAAUAGAAAGGAAAUGAUUGCUUUCACAAGUGUAAUUGCUUAGGAAACCCAACCAUGAUUUCAACUUUUUUUUUUAUUAUUUUUAAUGAGAUAGAAACUCCCAUUUAUACAUGGAUGGAUAUUCUGUCAAGGGUUUUACGGAGUUGGGUAUUUUGUUUCAAAUAGAGUUAGAAUGGUGAAUAAGAUACAUAUAGCAGAACUUAACUAGUUUGGGGUUAAGACUUGGUUAUUGUUGUUGUUGGUGUUGUCCUUGUGUUCUUGUUCUACAUCACUUAGUUUGGUGGGGGAUUGGAAGUCAUUGCCUCAUCAAAUAGAAAAAGUAGUUUUAUAACCUUUCUACCAAUGUUGCACACAAAAAGCCUACCAACUCUAUGUUAAGAAAUGAGCACCAAUAUACUAAUAAAUAUACAAAUGUGCUAUAAGUUUUCUCUCACUCUAGGCUAAGAUAGUCUCUUAAGUGCUAGCUUGAUGGUAGAUUGGGGCGUGCAUCAGUCAAUUUAGUUGGUUAAGUUUGGUAUGACAAUCACCAAAACCAAAACAACCAAAAUUAUUGGAAAGAAAAAUCAAACCCAUUCAAUUCAGUUUAUCAGUUUUCUCAACACUAAAACAAUUAAUGAAUUGCAAGAAUAUUGUUGGUUUUCACCAACAUAUCAAUAACAAUCCCCCAUUAAAUGUUGAAAACUCAUUUUAUCACCUUUGAA